RNAcentral lists this ribosomal RNA (251 nucleotides) under uncultured prokaryote. RNAcentral's name for it is "partial 16S rRNA". It matches the Rfam family "Bacterial small subunit ribosomal RNA", at positions 525 to 775 of the family's 1533-position model. The record is from RNAcentral.
ACGGGGGGGGCUAGCGUUGUUCGGAAUCAUUGGGCGUAAAGAGCGUGUAGGCGGCGGGUUAAGUCAGAUGUGAAAGCUCUGGGCUUAACCCAGGAAGUGCACUUGAAACUGGUCAUCUUGAGUUAGGGAGAGGAGAGCGGAAUUCCAGGUGUAGCGGUGAAAUUCGUAGAUAUCAGGAGGAACACCAGUGGCGAAGGCGACUCUCUGGCCUUGGACUGACGCUGAGGCGCGAAAGCGUGGGUAGCAAACAG